CUCCAGACUCCUACGGGAGGCAGCAGUGAGGAAUAUUGGUCAAUGGGCGGGAGCCUGAACCAGCCAAGUCGCGUGAGGGAAGACGGUCCUACGGAUUGUAAACCUCUUUUGCCGGGGAGCAACGGGGUCCUUGCGAGGGCCCAAUGAGAGUACCCGGAGAAAAAGCAUCGGCUAACUCCGCGCCAGCAGCCGCGGUAAUACGGAGGAUGCGAGCGUUAUCCGGAUUUAUUGGGUUUAAAGGGUGCGUAGGCGGGCUUUUAAGUCAGCGGUAAAAAUUCGGGGCUCAACCCCGGCCGGCCGUUGAAACUGGUUUUCUAGAGUUGGAGAGAAGUAUGCGGAAUGCGCGGUGUGGCGGUGAAAUGCAUAGAUAUCGCGCAGAACUCCGAUUGCGAAGGCAGCAUGCCGGCUCCACACUGACGCUGAGGCACGAAAGCGUGGGUAUCGAACAGGAUUAGAUACCCUAGUAA
Molecule: ribosomal RNA, 467 nt
Filed under: uncultured bacterium
Lineage: Bacteria
Description: bacterial SSU rRNA
Rfam family: Bacterial small subunit ribosomal RNA
Source: RNAcentral